Oreochromis aureus is the source of this 794-nucleotide long non-coding RNA. RefSeq lists it as uncharacterized. The transcript has 3 exons. NCBI's taxonomy places the organism in Eukaryota, Metazoa, Chordata, Actinopteri, Cichliformes, Cichlidae. The record is from RefSeq and is a predicted model, not a curated record.
UAUUCCAGCUGUGGCAAACAAAGAAAUUUCCUGAAUCUUUUUGACUACAGAGAGUGAUACACUGUUGACUCUGAUGCUGAUUUGAGUUGUCUGAUUCUGUAUUUUUGUCUUUUGUUAUAGAGUGAACAGAUCUUUGGUUUUGCCUUUGCUGACUACUGAUCUGAUUGUCUCAACUCUGGUGACCUGCUGCAGACAACCCUCUCUCUAUCAUUAUCAAGCAAUUCUGUCUGUCCUAUCACUCUCCCUGCUCUAUCUAAUUUGACAGCCAUUCUAUCUUGUAUCCCUCUAUCUCUACUGCUCUAUCUAAUUUGAAAGCCAUUCUAUCUUGUAUCCCUCUAUCUCUACUGCUCUAUCUAAUUUGAAAGCCAUUCUAUCUUGUAUCCCUCUAUCCCUACUGCUCUAUCUAAUUUGACAGCCAUUCUAUCUUGUAUCCCUCUAUCUCUACUGCUCUAUCUAAUUUGAAAGCCAUUCUAUCUUGUAUCCCUCUAUCCCAAGCGCUCUAUCUAAUUUCAGAAUCCAAGUUUUCAGAAUCCAAGUUUUCAGAAAUCCAAGUUACCAGUACUUGAUCUAUCUGUUAUAGAAUUCUGAGAGAUCUCUGCUCUCACUGCUCCUUCUUUCCUGUCAUUAAACUCUCUCACAUUCAGUCAUUUUGCUGAAAAUUACAAUUAGAAAGUUGAAUAUACAGUAGUAGAAUUGCAGUACAGUAGAACUUAUAGUAGAAACUACUUAUACAGCCCUACAUUUGUAGUUUUAACUUGGCAUUACACUUUGGAAUAAACACUGAUAGUUUGGCU